GCCGGGCGCGGUGGCGCGCGCCUGUAGUCCCAGCUACUCUGGAGGCUGAGACUGGAGGAUCGCUUGAGCCCAGGAGUUCUGGGCUGUAGUGCGCUAUGCCGAUCGGGUGUCCCCACUAAGUUCGGCAUCAAUAUGGUGACCUCCCGGGAGCGGGGGGGCCACCAGGUUGCCUAAGGAGGGGUGAACCGGCCCAGGUCGGAGACGCAGCAGGUCAAAGCUCCUGUGCUGACCAGUAGUGGGAUCGCGCCUGUGAAUAGCCACUGCACUCCAGCCUGGGCAACAUAGCGAGACCCCGUCUCUA
Myotis lucifugus (little brown bat) is the source of this 301-nucleotide non-coding RNA. The record is from Rfam. NCBI's taxonomy places the organism in Eukaryota, Metazoa, Chordata, Mammalia, Chiroptera, Vespertilionidae.